GCCCUACGGGGCGCAGCAGGCGCGAAAACUUUACCAUGCGGGCAACCGUGAUAAGGAAACCCCGAGUGCCAGCACAGGCUGGCUGUCCGCCAGUUUAAAUAACUGGUGAAGAAAGGGCCGGGCAAGACCGGUGCCAGCCGCCGCGGUAAUACCGGCGGCUCGAGUGGUGGCCGCUAUUACUGGGCUUAAAGGGUCCGUAGCUUGAUAACUGGGUCCCUUGAGAAAUCCGCCAGCUCAACUGGCGGGCGUUCAGGGGAAACUUGUUUUCUUGGGACCGGGAGAGGUGAGGGGUACUGCCGGGGUAGGAGUGAAAUCCUGUAAUCCCGGUGGGACCACCUAUGGCGAAGGCAUCUCACCAGAACGGGUCCGACAGUGAGGGACGAAAGCUGGGGGAGCAAACCGGAUUAGAUACCCGGGUAGUCCCAGCUGUAAACUAUGUGCGUUAGGUGUGUCAGUGACCACGUAUCACUGAGGUGCCGAAGGGAAACCGUGAAACGCACCGCCUGGGGAGUACGGUCGCAAGGCUGAAACUUAAAGGAAUUGGCGGGGGAGCACCACAACGGGUGUAGCCUGCGGUUUAAUCGGACUCAACGCCGGGAAUCUCACCGGA
RNAcentral lists this ribosomal RNA (610 nucleotides) under uncultured archaeon. Its description in RNAcentral is "bacterial SSU rRNA". It matches the Rfam family "Archaeal small subunit ribosomal RNA", at positions 320 to 934 of the family's 1478-position model. The record is from RNAcentral.